UUAUCAAGGAGGAAGAUCUGACGGUACUUGAUGAAUAAGCCACGGCUAAUUCCGUGCCAGCAGCCGCGGUAAUACGGGAGUGGCAAGCGUUAUCCGGAAUUAUUGGGCGUAAAGCGUCCGCAGGCGGUCUUAUAAGUCUGCUGUUAAAGCGUGGAGCUUAACUCCAUAAGGGCAGUGGAAACUGUUAGACUUGAGUGUGGUAGGGGCAGAGGGAAUUCCCGGUGUAGCGGUGAAAUGCGUAGAUAUUGGGAAGAACACCAGUGGCGAAGGCACUCUACUGGACCAUCACUGACACUCAUGGACGAAAGCCAGGGGAGCAAAAGGGAUUAGAUA
RNAcentral lists this ribosomal RNA (333 nucleotides) under uncultured Synechococcus sp. Its description in RNAcentral is "bacterial SSU rRNA". It matches the Rfam family "Bacterial small subunit ribosomal RNA", at positions 434 to 784 of the family's 1533-position model. Lineage: Bacteria; Bacillati; Cyanobacteriota; Cyanophyceae; Synechococcales; Synechococcaceae. The record is from RNAcentral.